AUACUAAAAUUUACCCCUCUGAUAUAAGAUAUGAUACGCGAGGCAGCUCGUGAUAUAAAGUAUAACUUAUGUACACAUCAAUAUAUAGGAUAUAACCUUAGUGACACAAUAUACAGAGUAUACUUUAACUGUCCGCGAUAUAGGUUAUAGAAAUAGACUGGGGCGAGUUUUUAAUUAUUCAUGUACUGCCGGCUUCCGACUGCAUCGUUCAAAAGUGAGCGAAAUUGUGGGUGAUUCACCACAUUAUUAACACUUGUCCUCAUAUUAUUAGUAUCAUCAACAGUUACAGGCGCCGAAGUUGACGAGCUUUCUCCACUGAACGCCAUUUCUCUUUCCGCCAUGAUGCUAAAAUAUCUUCUAAUCUAUUUAGUAUUUACUACAUUUCCCGCGUUAACUCAUUUCGUUAAUUUAUUACUGAUUAAUUUUCCUGAUUAAAUUUCAAAGCCGGAAGUGAACUUUAAAAUGGCAGUACAUGAAUAAUUAAAAACUCGCCCCAGUCUAUUUCUAUAACCUAUAUCGCGGACAGUUAAAGUAUACUCUGUAUAUUGUGUCAGUAAGGUUAUAUCCU
Non-coding RNA from Paramuricea clavata, 568 nucleotides. NCBI's taxonomy places the organism in Eukaryota, Metazoa, Cnidaria, Anthozoa, Malacalcyonacea, Plexauridae. The record is from the annotation of a GenBank genome assembly.